Molecule: ribosomal RNA, 463 nt
Filed under: Vreelandella stevensii
Lineage: Bacteria; Pseudomonadati; Pseudomonadota; Gammaproteobacteria; Oceanospirillales; Halomonadaceae
Description: partial 16S ribosomal RNA
Rfam family: Bacterial small subunit ribosomal RNA
Source: RNAcentral
CUACGGGGGCUGCAGUGGGGAAUAUUGGACAAUGGGCGAAAGCCUGAUCCAGCCAUGCCGCGUGUGUGAAGAAGGCCUUCGGGUUGUAAAGCACUUUCAGUGGGGAAGAAAGCCUUGGGGCUAAUACCCUCGAGGAAGGACAUCACCCACAGAAGAAGCACCGGCUAACUCCGUGCCAGCAGCCGCGGUAAUACGGAGGGUGCGAGCGUUAAUCGGAAUUACUGGGCGUAAAGCGCGCGUAGGCGGUCUGAUAAGCCGGUUGUGAAAGCCCCGGGCUCAACCUGGGAACGGCAUCCGGAACUGUCAGGCUAGAGUGCAGGAGAGGAAGGUAGAAUUCCCGGUGUAGCGGUGAAAUGCGUAGAGAUCGGGAGGAAUACCAGUGGCGAAGGCGGCCUUCUGGACUGACACUGACGCUGAGGUGCGAAAGCGUGGGUAGCAAACAGGAUUAGAUACCCUGGUAGUC